This 1228-nucleotide ribosomal RNA is filed under the name Kluyvera ascorbata. Its description in RNAcentral is "partial 23S ribosomal RNA". It matches the Rfam family "Bacterial large subunit ribosomal RNA", at positions 1 to 1269 of the family's 2925-position model. The record is from RNAcentral. Lineage: Bacteria; Pseudomonadati; Pseudomonadota; Gammaproteobacteria; Enterobacterales; Enterobacteriaceae.
GGUUAAGCGACUAAGCGUACACGGUGGAUGCCCUGGCAGUCAGAGGCGAUGAAGGACGUGCUAAUCUGCGAUAAGCGUCGGUAAGGUGAUAUGAACCGUUAUAACCGACGAUUUCCGAAUGGGGAAACCCAGUGUGUUUCGACACACUAUCAUUACGUGAAUACAUAGCGUAAUGAAGCGAACCGGGGGAACUGAAACAUCUAAGUACCCCGAGGAAAAGAAAUCAACCGAGAUUCCCCCAGUAGCGGCGAGCGAACGGGGAGCAGCCCAGAGCCUGAAUCAGCAUGUGUGAUAGUGGAACGGUAUGGAAAGGCCGGCGAUACAGGGUGAUAGCCCCGUACACAAAAUUGCAUGUGUUGUGAGCUCGAUGAGUAGGGCGGGACACGUGGUAUCCUGUCUGAAUAUGGGGGGACCAUCCUCCAAGGCUAAAUACUCCUGACUGACCGAUAGUGAACCAGUACCGUGAGGGAAAGGCGAAAAGAACCCCGGCGAGGGGAGUGAAAAAGAACCUGAAACCGUGUACGUACAAGCAGUGGGAGCAUCCUUCGGGGUGUGACUGCGUACCUUUUGUAUAAUGGGUCAGCGACUUAUAUUCUGUAGCAAGGUUAACCGAAUAGGGGAGCCGCAGGGAAACCGAGUCUUAACUGGGCGUUAAGUUGCAGGGUAUAGACCCGAAACCCGGUGAUCUAGCCAUGGGCAGGUUGAAGGUUGGGUAACACUAACUGGAGGACCGAACCGACUAAUGUUGAAAAAUUAGCGGAUGACUUGUGGCUGGGGGUGAAAGGCCAAUCAAACCGGGAGAUAGCUGGUUCUCCCCGAAAGCUAUUUAGGUAGCGCCUCGUGAAUUCAUCUUCGGGGGUAGAGCACUGUUUCGGCUAGGGGGUCAUCCCGACUUACCAACCCGAUGCAAACUACGAAUACCGAAGAAUGUUAUCACGGGAGACACACGGCGGGUGCUAACGUCCGUCGUGAAGAGGGAAACAACCCAGACCGCCAGCUAAGGUCCCAAAGUCACAGUUAAGUGGGAAACGAUGUGGGAAGGCUCAGACAGCCAGGAUGUUGGCUUAGAAGCAGCCAUCAUUUAAAGAAAGCGUAAUAGCUCACUGGUCGAGUCGGCCUGCGCGGAAGAUGUAACGGGGCUAAACUGUGCACCGAAGCUGCGGCAGCGACACUAUGUGUUGUUGGGUAGGGGAGCGUUCUGUAAGCCUGCGAAGGUGUCCUGUGAGGG